UGGUGGGUAGUUUGACUGGGGCGGUCUCCUCCUAAAGAGUAACGGAGGAGCACGAAGGUUGGCUAAUCCUGGUCGGACAUCAGGAGGUUAGUGCAAUGGCAUAAGCCAGCUUGACUGCGAGCGUGACGGCGCGAGCAGGUGCGAAAGCAGGUCAUAGUGAUCCGGUGGUUCUGAAUGGAAGGGCCAUCGCUCAACGGAUAAAAGGUACUCCGGGGAUAACAGGCUGAUACCGCCCAAGAGUUCAUAUCGACGGCGGUGUUUGGCACCUCGAUGUCGGCUCAUCACAUCCUGGGGCUGAAGUAGGUCCCAAGGGUAUGGCUGUUCGCCAUUUAAAGUGGUACGCGAGCUGGGUUUAGAACGUCGUGAGACAGUUCGGUCCCUAUCUGCCGUGGGCGCUGGAGAACUGAGGGGGGCUGCUCCUAGUACGAGAGGACCGGAGUGGACGCAUCACUGGUGUUCGGGUUGUCAUGCCAAUGGCACUGCCCGGUAGCUAAAUGCGGAAGAGAUAAGUGCUGAAAGCAUCUAAGCACGAAACUUGCCCCGAGAUGAGUUCUCCCUGAGACUUAGAGUCUCCUGAAGGAACGUUGAAGACGACGACGUUGAUAGGCCGGGUGUGUAAGCGCAGCGAUGCGUUGAGCUAACCGGUACUAAUGAACCGUG
RNAcentral lists this ribosomal RNA (660 nucleotides) under Salmonella enterica. RNAcentral's name for it is "partial 23S ribosomal RNA". It matches the Rfam family "Bacterial large subunit ribosomal RNA", at positions 2259 to 2912 of the family's 2925-position model. The record is from RNAcentral. Lineage: Bacteria; Pseudomonadati; Pseudomonadota; Gammaproteobacteria; Enterobacterales; Enterobacteriaceae. RNAcentral also lists the same sequence under 1 other name.